GGCAAACUGAGCACUGAGGCUGCUUCUCCUCCAAGGGCAUUUACUGAACUUGGUAAACUUAAAUCACAGUCUUUUUUUUAAGUUUUAAUAUUUAUUUUUAUUUUUAGUUAUCGGCAGACACAACAUCUUUGUUUGUAUGUGGUGCUGAGGAUCGAACCCAGGCUGCACGCAUGCCAGAGUCACCAAAGUGCACCUUCCGUCGAUAAAUGAGAACAUUUUUGCUGCAUGACAUGACUCGAGCCACCUCUUUGUGCUUCAUUUCUUCAUCUGCCCUAGGUGGGCUAUUAAUAUCAAGCAGGUUGCAGGUCUCAACUCAGAUGUCAUCUCCUGUACAAACCAGUGCUGACCAUGGUCACCACCAUCACCUCAACCUGCAUGGAUCACCCUGCUC
This is a long non-coding RNA of Marmota monax (woodchuck), 391 nucleotides long. RefSeq lists it as uncharacterized. The record is from RefSeq and is a predicted model, not a curated record. NCBI's taxonomy places the organism in Eukaryota, Metazoa, Chordata, Mammalia, Rodentia, Sciuridae. The transcript has 3 exons.